Molecule: long non-coding RNA, 622 nt
Organism: Homarus americanus (American lobster)
Lineage: Eukaryota; Metazoa; Arthropoda; Malacostraca; Decapoda; Nephropidae
Exons: 4
Source: RefSeq, a predicted model, not a curated record
GAAUACGGAGUGGAGUGUUGGGUUGAGUGUCUACGGUGACCGAGUGUUAGCUCUGUAAAAUGGCUGAUAGAGAAGGUGGAGAGGACAACCCGCAGCCGGGCCAGCCAAGUUAUGAAGUCCCACAAUCCGACAUGCCUGGAUUCAUGGGAGAUGAGGAGGAGGGUAAGUGUUGAGUGUGUUGUGCUGCCUAAGGUUCUACUCUGAGGUGAUGGGUAGGUAUGUGUGUCUGUGUGUGUGUUCCUCGCGCCUCUACACAGCACAGCACAGCACAUGACGGGAGGUGCUGUGACAGUUAGGUAGGUAUGUAUGUCUAGUGCUGUAAUAAUUGGUGUUCCUCGCCUCACAGCACAGCACCAUCAUUGACGUUAGUAUAUGUCCCAUUAAACACAGUACUAAUGGUGUUGGGUUAAGUGCGUAUUGUAUGGCUGUGUUGACAUUAUUAUAAUAUGAAUAAUAACGUUACCCUAUAAUUGUUGUUGUUGUUGGUCAUGUGGCGUGACGGCGUCGGAGUUGUUGUUGGUCAUGUGGUGUGACGGCGUCGGAGUUGUUGUUAGUCAUGUGGUGUGACGGCGUCGGAGUUGUUGUUGGUCAUGUGGUGUGACGGCGUCGGAGUUGUUGUUUG